GCCAACGUGGCUCAGCUGGUAGAGCAACGCACUCGUAAUGCGUAGGUCACCGGUUCGAAUCCGGUCGUUGGCUCCA
This 76-nucleotide transfer RNA is filed under the name Coriobacteriia bacterium. RNAcentral describes it as "tRNA-Thr". It matches the Rfam family "tRNA". From Rfam's summary of the family: Transfer RNA (tRNA) molecules are approximately 80 nucleotides in length. Their secondary structure includes four short double-helical elements and three loops (D, anti-codon, and T loops). The record is from RNAcentral. Lineage: Bacteria; Bacillati; Actinomycetota; Coriobacteriia.